GAUGAACGCUGGCGGCGUGCUUAACACAUGCAAGUCGAGCGAAGCGAUUUUAAGGAAGCCUUCGGGUGGAAUUAAAAUUGACUUAGCGGCGGACGGGUGAGUAACGCGUGGGUAACCUGCCUCAUACAGGGGGAUAACAGUUAGAAAUGACUGCUAAUACCGCAUAAGCGCACAGUGCUGCAUUGCACAGUGUGAAAAACUCCGGUGGUAUGAGAUGGACCCGCGUCUGAUUAGGUAGUUGGUGAGGUAACGGCCCACCAAGCCGACGAUCAGUAGCCGACCUGAGAGGGUGACCGGCCACAUUGGGACUGAGACACGGCCCAAACUCCUACGGGAGGCAGCAGUGGGGAAUAUUGGACAAUGGGGGAAACCCUGAUCCAGCGACGCCGCGUGACUGAAGAAGUAUUUCGGUAUGUAAAGGUCUAUCAGCAGGGAAGAAAAUGACGGUACCUGACUAAGAAGCCCCGGCUAACUACGUGCCAGCCGCCGCUGUAA
RNAcentral lists this ribosomal RNA (495 nucleotides) under uncultured bacterium. RNAcentral describes it as "partial 16S ribosomal RNA". It matches the Rfam family "Bacterial small subunit ribosomal RNA", at positions 28 to 523 of the family's 1533-position model. The record is from RNAcentral.